Molecule: long non-coding RNA, 754 nt
Filed under: Salmo salar (Atlantic salmon)
Lineage: Eukaryota; Metazoa; Chordata; Actinopteri; Salmoniformes; Salmonidae
Description: lncRNA (ENSSSAG00000100070.1, ENSSSAG00000113322.1)
Source: RNAcentral
UCUCUCUCUCUCUAUAUAUAUAUAUAUAUAUCUCUAUGUAGGACUCCUAGUCAGUCAUCAGUCAUCUCUCUCUCUCUCUAUAUAUAUAUAUAUAUCUCUAUGUGGGACCCCUAGUCAGUCGUCAGUCCUCUCUCUCUCACUCUAUAUAUAUAUAUAUCUCUAUGUAGGACUCCUAGUCAGUCAUCAGUCAUCUCUCUCUCUCUAUAUAUAUAUAUAUAUAUAUAUCUAUGUGGGACCCCUAGUCAGUCGUCAGUCCUCUCUCUCUCUCUAUAUAUAUCUCUCUAUGUGGGACCCCUAGUCAGUCCCCUCUCUCUCUCUCUCUCUCUCUCUAUAUAUAUAUCUCUCUAUGUGGGACCCCUAGUCAGUCCCCUGUCUCUCUCUCUCUCUCUAUAUAUAUAUAUAUAUAUCUCUCUCUAUGUGGGACCCCUAGUCAGUCUCCCCUCUCUCUCUCUAUAUAUAUAUCUCUAUGUGGGACCCCUAGUCAGUCGUCAGUCCUCUCUCUCUCUCUCUAUAUAUAUCUCUCUCUCUAUGUAGGACUCCUAGUCAGUCAUCAGUCCCCUCUCUCUCUCUCUCUCUCUCUAUAUAUAUAUCUCUCUAUGUGGGACCACUAGUCAGUCACCUCUCUCUCUCUAUAUAUAUAUAUAUCUCUAUGUGGGACCCCUAGUCAGUCAUCAGUCAUCUCUCUCUCUCUCUCUCUCUCUCUAUAUAUAUAUAUAUAUAUCUCUAUGUGGGACCCCUAGUCAGUCGUCAGUCA